This 346-nucleotide ribosomal RNA is filed under the name uncultured bacterium. Its description in RNAcentral is "partial 16S ribosomal RNA". It matches the Rfam family "Bacterial small subunit ribosomal RNA", at positions 338 to 700 of the family's 1533-position model. The record is from RNAcentral.
CCUACGGGAGGCAGCAGUGGGGAAUAGUGGGCAAUGGGCGCAAGCCUGACCCAGCAACGCCGCGUGAAGGAAGAAGGCUUUCGGGUGGUAAACGUCUUUUAAGAGGGAAGAGCAGAAGACGGGACCUCUUGAAUAAGCCACGGCUAACGACGGGCCAGCAGCCGCGGUAAUACGUAGGUGGCAAGCGUUGUCCGGAUUACGGGGUGUAAAGGGCGUGCAGCCGGGAAGACCAGUCAGAGGUGAAAUCCCGCGGCUCAACCGCGGAACUGCAUUUGAAACUGUUUUUCUUGAGUACCGGAGAGGUCAUCGGCCUUCCUUGUGUAGCGGUGACAUGCGUAGAUAUCAG